UACGUAGGGUGCAAGCGUUAUCCGGAAUUAUUGGGCGUAAAGAGCUCGUAGGCGGUUUGUCGCGUCUGCUGUGAAAACUGGGGGGCUCAACCCCCCAGCCUGCAGUGGGUACGGGCAGACUAGAGUGCGGUAGGGGGAGAUUGGAAUUCCUGGUGUAGCGGUGGAAUGCGCAGAUAUCAGGAGGAACACCGAUGGCGAAGGCAGAUCUCUGGGCCGUAACUGACGCUGAGGAGCGAAAGCAUGGGGAGCGAACAGG
Molecule: ribosomal RNA, 256 nt
Filed under: uncultured bacterium
Lineage: Bacteria
Description: partial 16S ribosomal RNA
Rfam family: Bacterial small subunit ribosomal RNA
Source: RNAcentral